AAUCUUCGAGAUUAUAUGGAGUAUUAUCACUUUUGUACCCGUUUUAUCCCAUUCAAACUCUACAUUAUGAAGCAAGAUGACCAUAAUAUGUGAUUUUUAGCUUGUAUACAUCAGUUUGUGGUGCAUCGGAAACUGUAUUUUUUACACAAAGAGUACAAACUAGAGCACAUUUCACGGAAUCUAGAUGACUAUGUUGAAUUUGGCACCAUAAAGGUAAGAAAAAAU
Molecule: long non-coding RNA, 225 nt
Filed under: Erythranthe guttata (spotted monkey flower)
Lineage: Eukaryota; Viridiplantae; Streptophyta; Magnoliopsida; Lamiales; Phrymaceae
Description: long non-coding RNA (EGUT_LNC003008)
Source: RNAcentral